This is a long non-coding RNA of Haliotis rubra (blacklip abalone), 117 nucleotides long. RefSeq lists it as uncharacterized. NCBI's taxonomy places the organism in Eukaryota, Metazoa, Mollusca, Gastropoda, Lepetellida, Haliotidae. The transcript has 3 exons. The record is from RefSeq and is a predicted model, not a curated record.
AGAUGUUUAUCGACAUUGUAAGCAGAAAAGUACACCAAAGGUCCACACGCGUUUUUCUGUCUGCGCUCAUUGACAUCGAGUACGGGUACAGCAGUGAACGAUGACACCAGAAAGACC